AUUGAACGCUGGCGGCAGGCCUAACACAUGCAAGUCGAGCGGAUGAAGGGAGCUUGCUCCUGGAUUCAGCGGCGGACGGGUGAGUAAUGCCUAGGAAUCUGCCUGGUAGUGGGGGAUAACGUCCGGAAACGGGCGCUAAUACCGCAUAAGUCCUGAUGGAGAAAGGGGGGGAUCUUCGGACCUCACGCUAUCAGAUGAGCCUAGGUCGGAUUAGCUAGUUGGUGGGGGAAAGGCCUACCAAGGCGACGAUCCGUAACUGGUCUGAGAGGAUGAUCAGUCACACUGGAACUGAGACACGGUCCAGACUCCUACGGGAGGCAGCAGUGGGGAAUAUUGGACAAUGGGCGAAAGCCUGAUCCAGCCAUGCCGCGUGUGUGAAGAAGGUCUUCGGAUUGUAAAGCACUUUAAGUUGGGAGGAAGGGCAGUAAGUUAAUACCUUGCUGUUUUGACGUUACCAACAGAAUAAGCACCGGCUAACUUCGUG
This 484-nucleotide ribosomal RNA is filed under the name uncultured bacterium. RNAcentral's name for it is "partial 16S ribosomal RNA". It matches the Rfam family "Bacterial small subunit ribosomal RNA", at positions 30 to 507 of the family's 1533-position model. The record is from RNAcentral.